GAGGGAAAGGCGAAAAGAACCCCGGCGAGGGGAGUGAAAAAGAACCUGAAACCGUGUACGUACAAGCAGUAGGAGCCCCAUCACUCAAGUGCCUCGCACUGAGUGAUGCAAGAAUAUCACCGAAAAUAGCGCCGAAUUUGCUAACAAGGUUGGUCGAUUUUUUCAAGCCGUCGCGCAGUGUACCUAGAAGUACACGAGCAACGGAAGUUAAAAAAUCGGGCAAGAUUGAACGCAAAGGCAAGCGGGACAUUUGAGGAUGGGGUGACUGCGUACCUUUUGUAUAAUGGGUCAGCGACUUAUAUUCUGUAGCAAGGUUAACCGUAUAGGGGAGCC
RNAcentral lists this ribosomal RNA (333 nucleotides) under Proteus mirabilis. RNAcentral's name for it is "partial 23S ribosomal RNA". It matches the Rfam family "Bacterial large subunit ribosomal RNA", at positions 505 to 667 of the family's 2925-position model. The record is from RNAcentral. Lineage: Bacteria; Pseudomonadati; Pseudomonadota; Gammaproteobacteria; Enterobacterales; Morganellaceae.